Molecule: small nuclear RNA, 118 nt
Organism: Toxotes jaculatrix (banded archerfish)
Lineage: Eukaryota; Metazoa; Chordata; Actinopteri; Toxotidae
Product: U5 spliceosomal RNA
Exons: 1
Source: RefSeq, a predicted model, not a curated record
UGACUUUUGUUCCUCUUCAUAACGCACAAGUCUUUCACCUUUUACUAAAGACUUCCGUGGAGAGGAACACCACGUGUUCAGUAUAAGAUACAAGUGGACUCAUUUCAUUUCAUUUCAU